GCCUUCGUGCUGUAACGGUAGCACACUCGGCUCGUAUUCGAGGGGUCCAAGUUCGAGUCCCGGCAAGGGCA
Molecule: non-coding RNA, 71 nt
Organism: Stegodyphus mimosarum
Lineage: Eukaryota; Metazoa; Arthropoda; Arachnida; Araneae; Eresidae
Source: Rfam